GCUGCACCUGCAGCAUAUGGAAGUUCCCUGGCUAGGGGUCAAACGGGAGCUGUAGCCGUCACAGCCACAGCAACACAGGAUCCGAGCCACAUCUACGACCUGCACCAUAGCUCACCGUAAUGCUGGAUCCUUAACCCAUUGAGCGAGGCCAGGGAUCAAACCCACAUCCUCAUGGAUACUAGCUGGAUUCCUAACCUGAUGAGCCACAACAGGAAUUCCCCUAAGAGGUAUUUGGUAAACAAAUACUCCCUUCUCUCUGUACCGAGGGGUGCGGCAGUGCCCUCCGGGGCUUCUCCAGGAUGCCGGGAAUGGCACAGGUCAGCUGCCAAGACUCACCCUGCAGUGCCCCGAGCCAUGUUUUAUAGGGGCCACUUUGUAUGGUGUCAGUACAGUGUGGAUAUUUACCGCACUUGGAAAGCAGCCGUUUAUUUGAGCUAGAGGAAAGGAACAUUCUAGAUCUCCUGUCUCCUCACCCUGCUUAUUGUUAGAUGCAGGAUAUGUUUGUAGGUCAUCAGGCUCAGCUAAGCUAUGUAACCUGCUCUCUUUCGCAGCCAAAAUCUAUUCCUGAGAAACAUGGAAAACGCAUUCCAGAUGAAGGCGAGAAAACCUCUAACAGCUCUUUACCUGGGGAGCAUUAAAACCCAGAGGCCAACAGUUGCAAAGUCUUAUCUCUGGGUUGUGAGCUCUCAGUCAAGUUCAUUCAGGGAGUCCCUAUCCUGGGCCAGACCACCCUCCCACGUGGUAAGGAGGGGGCCUGCCUUUGUGGCUUUCACAGCCUAAUUGUAGAUCUAACUUUAAGGCAUUUGAACAGCACCCAAUGCUUGUAAAAAUUCAUCUCCACUUCCAAAUAAUUAUUUCAGUGACAUGCAGAUUCAAUCACUUCGUCCACUAAAAGGAACCUUCUUUCAUCUGAACUUUGGGAACCAGAUAACACCCACAUAGUACAUUUUUUUUUUCAACACUAUGUGUGGUUGUCAUAUUUCAGGGUAAAGCUGCCCCUCCUGGAUGUCAGGGUGUUUUGUGAGUUGUUUUUAAUAGGAUUUUGUUCUACUUUCUAUACCAGCCUAUCUUGUUAAAAUCAUCUGAGGAGGGUGAAUAUUUUAGGAUUCAAAGCCCACCAAAUAAACCUGCUCAGAAGUGGGCUUAUGUGGUCAGCCUUGAGAAAAAUAAAUGAGUGUUUCUCAGAUAUCUGCUGAGAAUUACCCAGUAACCAGGGUUUCUUUUUAUGCAGUGGAAAGAAUGCAUAUUUUUCUUCCAGAAACUCUGGUUUGUACUUUUUUUCAUUUAAAAGAAUAACAUGCCUGUGAGGUUGUGUUUCUAAAACUUUCUUCCUUUGCAUUUUUCCUCUCCUACUCAAACCCCUUAUUUCCUCCUGCUUCUCUAAACAGAAUGGGGGCCUGGGGCCAAGAGGGUGAUGCAGGAAUCAGAGAAAGGGGGUGGCGGCUUUGCAGUGCCUGGUUAAGAGCGGGGAGCUGCCGUUCUACCCACGCUCACCGCUAGGGGGCGAUGUCCCUGCUGGAAACUUGCCGGUUCCAAGGGCCGAUCCCAGGGCGCUGGCUCCACCUACUGCAGCUCUGGGGCAUUGCUCUUGUGUAAAUCAAGGACUUGGGGAAUCUGAGAAAGAAGGCAGGAGGGGAAAGAAAGUUAGCGAUGGACGCGGAACUCGAACACACCUCUCCUGGGAUACAUGGUGACACUUUGCCUUUCUCUGCUGCUGAGCUUGGAGCCCCCAGUGGUCCUUAGCCUUCCUGUCUUUUCUGCAUCUGCUUUGGUGAAGGCCCCAGAGAUUUGGGGGCCUCCGCCGUGAGGUGGAGGUGUCCUGCUACUGCUGGGCCCACCCAGGGUGAGUUCACUGGAGGAGGCGCCCCCUCCCCAACAAGGGUUCUAGAAGUCAGGUCCCCUCUGCUUGGUUUGGAUAAGAGAGUCUACCUGGAGACUGUCACCUGUGGAAUUUCAGAUGUAAAGGAACUGUUCGGGGGAUGCAGAUCAUUGCAUGGGGUGUGUGUGUGGGCGGGGGUGGGGGGGUGGUGGCCGUGAGUGGAUAUUUGGAUUGACCAUGAAAGCAGAUAGAUCUGACCCUCCCGGAGUUCACACUCAUGACACGCUACAUAAUUUGCGGGCUGAGUGCAAAGUGAAAAUGUGAGUCCCGUGUUCAAAAUUAUGAAGACUUUCGAGGUGAUGACGGCAGAGGAUUAGACCAGGAACCGGCCCUCGUAAGCACUGGGUCCCGCGUGUGACUGCGCAGGUCAGAUGCCCGUGAACCCCGCCUUGGUCACAUUGUGUUUUUAGUUGGUGUUCUAGGCAGAUGGGGCUUCAUCUUUUGCUUCUUCCUUUGUAAAGUCUCCCUGGCAGGGUGCAGAGAGGUGGGCCGAUGAAUUUUUCAAAAUGUGUGCUUGUUAAAGCGCCAACGGUCUGGACCCGUCAGAGGGUAGGGGGCCCAAACCCCUCGUUGACAGAUGCGUGGCCAGGGCGUGCUGCAGAGGGGCCCGCGGGCCUUGACCGUUUCACCCAAUGACUUGAAAUCAAACCCUUCCUUUUGGUCAUUAGUCAUCCACUGGGGGCUUUUCUUCUCUGAGCUGCUAGGACAGGGAGGCUUUUCCCCGUAAUUUACUAGGUAAUGGAGCGCGGGUGGAGCGGUGCUCAGUGCUCCUUCCCCGGGAGCCGGGUUGGACGCCGUUUCUCCAUCUCCGAUCCCUCGAAAGGGGACCGCCGGCUGCCUCCCUGCCGCUGCCUUGGCGCCCAGGUGGCAGGAGGGCUCCUGCUUCUGGGAGGCAGAGGCUUCCCAGCUGGGUUCUCCCCGUAGGAUAUCCGUGGCUUUGGAGCAGGGGGAUGUGAGGAGAGAGGAAAGAUCCCACUACCACGGGCCGUGGGGCGUGGCGGGGGUGGGGUGGGGUGGGGCAGCUGACCUUGGAGUUGCCCCUCCUGCCGUGCACUUGCAGUUGCUUUCUUUCGGUAGCAUUUCCUAGACCUUGGCUGGACCCUCCCAAACCUUUGCAAUUCUGCUCGGUCUUUGCUAGUCAAUUUCACGUCUAUGCACACAGAGCAAUAAUCCCAUCUAUGUUUCUAGAUUCAGUCUGGGAUUAUAAAGUUUACGAGGUAAAAACAUUCAGGCAGUGGAACAGAAAUGUCAAAUUCAUCUCCUGUGGAUUUGACAGUGUCACUUUGACUGAGAUGGCAAACCCUAGCCUUGUUUCUACGGGUAAGGCAAUCACGCAAACUACUGAACUUUCAGAAAGCAUUUUCUAGAGGCGUUGAAUUAAUAUUGUGUCAGUGUUUGUUUUCCUGAAUGAAUCUUUUGACUUACGUUUUACAAAUCAACGCCCUUCAGAUAUCAUCUGCUAAGGAGUCACAAUAUGGAAAGUAGAUAUUCUAGCAAGAUCUUUGGUAAUAGUACUUAUUUUAACACAUGCAUUUAGGACAUACAUUGCCAAGAGCCCAAGUGUCUUUGAACCAUAAAACCAACCUCAAAUCUUGUCUGCUGAAGCCCAGCAAGGUCUGUACCCUUCUGCUCCCCUUCUUCAGAGCCUACCUGGAUGGAGAAGUUGGCGGCCACAUCAUUCAUGUCCUAUUGCCUUAGCUAAAUCAGCUUUCUUAUCCUCACAGAAGUAGGCGGUCAACAUAAUGUGUAAAUACAUGUAUACAGAUGAGAAUCUGCGGCGAAAACAUCCUAUGUAUGAUAAUCAGUUCUCAGCUUCUGGUUUUCUGCAUUUUCUACAGUUUCCAGCUAAGAAUAGUGCAGAAUUCCACUACAUAAAGUGAAAAAGUUAUGCUCUGUAGAUGGUUUGUCCAGAAAUCCCUGCUGUAUGUUUAUGGGAAUGUCCAUGACUCAAUGUACAUAUGGUGUGUAAGAGGUUAUGAUGUUAAAUGUUGCAUAAACUAACAGAUUCUGUAGUUAUAAAUAUUUAACUUGUUAUUGUAAACUGUGACGUCAUUGAGAGAUUAUUUUUCUGUAUGUAUAUGAGAGUAUUUUAGGAAUCUAAUUUAAGUGCAUAAAACUAUAGAAAAGAAAAUUUAAAAACCUAUGCCAGGAGUAGGAAAAUACUUAAUCAGAUUACUUGGGUUUGACCCAACUAAAUUUCUUAUAUGAAAAAGAAAAUCUGAGUGGCAUAUGUUAGGAAAUCAAAGAAGUCAUUUUGGGGGGGCAUAGAAUGUGAUACAUUUAAAUGAAAUGGGUGGUGUGGUGAUAAAAUGAUAAGUAUCCUCUAGCCAUGACCUUGAAGGAGACCCCGGUGUUUCAUUAAACAGGUUACAUAUUCAGGAGGGUGGUAAGUUCAGGAAAGACUGGAGGAUUGAGAGCCUGUUUCCCAUCAGAUCCAUAUGAUGUGCCCAGAAGCUUCUGUGGGUUCUGGCGGGUCAGUCAGGACUCUGGGGUGGACCCAACCAUCCUUCUAGAGAGUUCCGAACAUGGGAGGGAGGCCACCCCUUGACCUCCCGGUCACCCUUAGCAGUUCUCUUUCUGGGUAGAUUCAGAACAUCUCUUUGGUGUUUGCAUUCUCCAUGAAAUUUCCUGGGGGACCCUCACUGCCUUUGCCUGGGGCAUGGCUGGGUGGCUCGAAGGAGGGAUUUCAGGGCUUUCUGGGCUUAGCUGUUUCUGGCAUGUAGAGUAGGCAGCACAGAGCAGCCUCCUAGCUGCCUGUGUCCCUGGGGCAAGAGACCUUCCUCCUGUCCCCCUUCCCAGAAAGGGUCAGAGGUUCAGGCUGCAUCUAGGGCAUGGCUUUCUAUCCUUUGGCACCAGAAAUGUCCCCACCGGCCACCUAGGGAGGGAUGGAAUGCAAAAUCCCGUGAACCUCAAGGUCUGAGGCCCCCCCCCUCCCCCCCUUCCCCCCCCCCCCCCCCCCCCGCGCCAAGAGCUGCAUUCAGAAGGCAUUUUGGGAGCUGGCAACCCCGCGACUCCAGCCUCCGCUAACAGGCUGGGAGUGAUGCAUCAGUGACUAGAGCCGGUUCCUGGUGAACUGGGCAUGUUGACUGUGGAUCAUGGUUGUGAAAGUUGAGGGCUGCAGCUUGAAAGGACACAUGGGGAGUGUGUGCUGUAGGUUUCCACCUUUUCCCUCGACAAGCUAUAUGCUUCCUCCUGAGUCAGCCAACAGUCAAGGUCCCUUUUUGAUACGCCUGAAAUUGGCAAAAUGCUAGAGUCCAAGUGACUUCCUGGAUGUCAGGGGGAGUGGGGAGCUGUGAUUUCUGGAAACUUCCUGGAAUCUAUUGUCAUACAAGGAAUCAGCAAAUCACCUUGAGGAACUGUCUGUGUGGAUGCAACUGACUUUAUUCCCAAACACGGGGACAUUUAGAGAUCUCCUUGUUCACCGUGCCCUGGGAAGCCUCCUUGAGCCAGCCAGCUGACGUGGACAGCUCUGGUCCACCCACCCAGAACAGGUCAUGACCCGUCCUCCUUAGCGCCAUACUCACUUUUGCGGCUGGUGUGGCCGUAGGGCUGUAAGUGGGAAUGAUUCAGCCGGUCAACUGCCUCCUGGAUCCUGGUUAUUCCAAGAAAGUCUGGGGUCAAGAAAAGCCAGGGAAUAUGGGGUCCUGCCCCAGCAGUGCUUGCAAGCUAUGCCAGUCAGCCUUUGCCUGUUUGGGAAAGAAUGUAUCAAUCCUGACAUGAGUCCCUUGUGUUUCCAGUGACAACUGGGUCACCGUGCUGGUGGCACAUGGCUGCCCUCACAGCCCUGCCCAAGGGUAGGACUAAGCUACCCUCGAUGAAUGUUCUGUUGACUGUAAUAUACUUCGGUUGCCAAAUAACAGUACUGUUUAAUUUCCCAUAAGAGGGAAACUAUAUUGUUUGAUGUGUAAUGUCAAUGGAGUUUCUAAAAAUUACUAGACACUAUUAUCAAUUGUAGAAUUAUGUAUUUGUCUAAGGUUUGAUGAAGCAGGGCCAAAACAUUAGGUUUCUUCUUUGUUUCAAGGAAGCUGAGGUUAGUUUUGCUGUUUGAGCGUUCCUUUGGCACCUUAUUAUGUAUGACAUGUUAAAUUUUACCAAUCAAGAUUAUAACUGAGGUUUUUUUUUUUUUAAAUUUAAACCAGUAGCAACAUCAGUACAGAUUGCUAUUCCUGUGUAUCUUGACUCUAAAAAGAACAAUCUCUUCCAAACAAUUCUUUGGUCAUUUGGACCUGUACGGUUUAAAUUCACAUAGUUCAUGAAU
Molecule: long non-coding RNA, 6137 nt
Filed under: Sus scrofa (pig)
Lineage: Eukaryota; Metazoa; Chordata; Mammalia; Artiodactyla; Suidae
Description: lncRNA (ENSSSCG00000061947.1)
Source: RNAcentral